This 256-nucleotide ribosomal RNA is filed under the name Streptomyces sp. ISO311_OTU372. RNAcentral describes it as "partial 16S ribosomal RNA". It matches the Rfam family "Bacterial small subunit ribosomal RNA", at positions 29 to 289 of the family's 1533-position model. RNAcentral also lists the same sequence under 3 other names. Lineage: Bacteria; Bacillati; Actinomycetota; Actinomycetes; Kitasatosporales; Streptomycetaceae. The record is from RNAcentral.
ACGAACGCUGGCGGCGUGCUUAACACAUGCAAGUCGAACGAUGAACCACUUCGGUGGGGAUUAGUGGCGAACGGGUGAGUAACACGUGGGCAAUCUGCCCUGCACUCUGGGACAAGCCCUGGAAACGGGGUCUAAUACCGGAUAACACUCCUGCACUCAUGUGUGGGGGUUAAAAGCUCCGGCGGUGCAGGAUGAGCCCGCGGCCUAUCAGCUUGUUGGUGAGGUAAUGGCUCACCAAGGCGACGACGGGUAGCCG